AACGAACGCUGGCGGCAUGCCUAACACAUGCAAGUCGAACGAGGCCCUUCGGGGUUUAGUGGCGCACGGGCGCGUAACGCGUGGGAAUCUGCCCUUUGGUUCGGAAUAACAGCUGGAAACGGCUGCUAAUACCGGAUGAUGACGAAAGUCCAAAGAUUUAUCGCCAGAGGAUGAGCCCGCGUUGGAUUAGGUAGUUGGUGGGGUAAAGGCCUACCAAGCCGACGAUCCAUAGCUGGUCUGAGAGGAUGAUCAGCCACACUGGGACUGAGACACGGCCCAGACUCCUACUUGAGGCAGCAGUGGGGAAUAUUGGACAAUGGGCGCAAGCCUGAUCCAGCAAUGCCGCGUGAGUGAUGAAGGCCCUAGGGUUGUAAAGCUCUUUUACCCGGAAAGAUAAUGACUGUACCGGGAGAA
RNAcentral lists this ribosomal RNA (414 nucleotides) under uncultured bacterium. RNAcentral describes it as "bacterial SSU rRNA". It matches the Rfam family "Bacterial small subunit ribosomal RNA", at positions 29 to 486 of the family's 1533-position model. The record is from RNAcentral.